UCCCCCCGGUGCUUAAGUUUCCAGAGGUUUUCAAAUGGAAAUAGAGUGGGCGUGGUGGUGGUGCAGAAGUGAGGUGUUGUGGGUGUGGGGGGAUUUGGGAGAGGGCAUCCAGGUCAGAAACUUUACACAAAUUCCAAGCUAUCACUACCAUUGCAGAUCAAAAAACUUAGGUGUGAGAGACCCUCUUAGAUACAUUGCCUUCUUGAUCGAGGUUAGCUAACGACAGGUCCCAGUUCUGGGGCAGUUUUGAGAGGGUCUUAAGACUGCUAGAGGCCAGAUCUCCUAGUUUGGCCUGGGGGCUAAACCAGGCUCGACUCCCGCAGCUCUGAAGCCCGGAAGCAAGGCAAAGACUGUUUUAAUCUUAUCUACUCUUUAAGUUUCAGCAGCCACAGCCCAUCAACGCUGGCUCGGACCCGUGCCUCCUCCAGGACAGUUAAGGGAGCGAAAAUUCAACCUUCACCCUGAAUCUCAGAUCAAGGAGAGGAAGCAAAAGGGGGUUCGGUUGCUUCUUCUGGCCCAAUGGGCCUGCGCUUUGCAGACCCCCAAAAGUGCGAGGCGUAGUCUGCACCCAGGCGAUAGCAGGGCUCCGGGAGUGGAGGCUUUCCGCGCACUCCCGGGCCCGCGCUCCCUUUCUGGUCCUCCAAGGUCAGGGCCAGCGACCUCCGCCGGCCUCUCCACGCCCUCAAAGGGAAUGCUGCGGGCCCUGGCCCAACGUAACCUGGCCAGGAAAGAAGACGGCGCUACUGGAUUCGGGAGAGGGGGCGAGGCGAAGGUCCGACCCUGUUCUGGAAAACGCCAGCUCCUCCUGGAUUCGCCAAAGUCUAAAGAAGCCCAGGGAAAGCUCUGCGGGUUUUCGGGGGGAACUCCACUGUGGGACUUGUCCCGUAGAUCUUUCUCAGUCCUUGGCCUUCCUCCCGCGGUCCUCCCCUCCCCAGUUCCCCCGCCCCGCCCAAGUCCCGGGCCGCUGGGGCUGAGCCCACCGAGCCUGGAGAAGAGCGAAGGAGCCCCCUGCCGGCCAGAGGCGGCCGGCGCGGCCACCCGCUCUCGCUUCCCUCCGCCCAGCCCGCGCGGCCCCGCCCGGACCCUGCUCGACCCUCCAGGGUCCCCAGGACUGGGGACUUGUUAAAAGAAACAGAAAACAAAACAAAACAAACAAAGCGCCAAAAUCCACUCUCACCUCGUUCACUGCUCAAAGAGCUGGGGAUUGAAUCCAGGCCCUCAUGAAUGCUAGACAAUUGCUCUACCACCGAGCUAUGCCACAGCACUCACCAUACCUUUGUAUAGAACAGAAAAAGUCAGCUCAGAGAGGAUAAUGUCUUAUCCAGGGUCACACCGUUUCUGAAGAAGAAUCUUCAGAAGUAAAAUCUGAAAAUGAAAAACAAACGAACAAACCAAAAUCAAUGAAGUUCUGGCAAUAGUCAGAAAUUGUUAGAAUAUAGAGUGUGGCCAACUCCAUGAGAAAAUGAAGGAGAAAUGGUUUGGAGAGUAUCUGAGGAUGGAAUUGGGUAGCUGAAAUGCCAAGGUUCUUUAGUAACUAUGCUGCCUCAUCAGUCCAGAGGAAAUUCAAAAAAGUCCAGCGGAAGCAGAACGUUCAGAGCAUGGAUAAUCAGAAGAAAGAAGUUAACUUAUCUUUGUGUAACAUGGAUUCUCUGGGCCCAGCUUGUGCAAUUUGUAAUAUAUAAGAAGCUUUCAUUGUUAAUCUUCUGAAAAACAAAUUAAACUGAAAUAGGCCUCCUUCUCUCUUUGUCUCAACUCUGGCUCUCACAUACACCAAAUUUUUGUGGUUUAAAAUAUUUGUUUUAUUUUAUUUUCCCCUGAUUCCCUUACUUAGUAGUAUUUUUCCUAACUCUACUCCAGCUGGUAUUAACUGAGUGGCUUUUCUGGCAUCUCACUUGAGGUCACUCAUGUGAAUGAAAUAAUGUAGAAGUUUAAUGGAUGAAAUGAUGGCCUCGCUCACAUUCUGGCUUUGAGCAGGACUUCCUCAGGCCCUCAGUUGUCAAGCAGGAUAGCCAGACAAUCUUAUAUGAUGCUAUUUGGUUGCCAAGGAGCAAUAAUGAAAGCUGCAAGUCUGUGUGAGCAGUGUCUUGGAACUCUGAUACCCUAACACCCAUCACCUGCUAUUGAUAUAGGUUCGAUAAGGCUAUACCCUAUAAGUGCUAUACCCUAACACCCAUCACCCCAACAUAAGCAUAAGGAAGAGUUGACUCUGCCUGUUGGUGGAGAGAAUAACAGCAUCACAUUGCAAAGAGGUGUUCACAAAGAGAAGGCAGGUGCACGCCCCCGUCACCCCACUGCUUUGCAAACCAUAUUUGUGGUUAUGCCCAAAUUUCUUAUCAUUCUCUUGCAUAUAUCUGCAUUUCCACAAAAUAAUAUUUUGUUUAGGUGUUUGCUACUUGCUGUUUGCUGCAGGUAACUCAUAUAGUUACAUACCACAGAGACAACCCUUUUCUCACUCAAAUCAAUGGCAUUAUUGAUAUUUAAAGUUAUAUAUUUCUUAAUACAAGCCAAUGCAAUAUGUUGAUGAUUUUAUAAAUCUGUAUAUUUCUUAGUUCUCUCAGAAAGAGGUUGAGGGCAAAAAUUGCUUCUCUAGUGAAAGUCUGUUUUUGGUUUCUGUUAAAUGAUGAUCUAUAAUUGAUUUGUGUGCCAACUACAACUGCCUCAGUCUGUUUUCAGCUAUUUUGUUCACAAUUCAAUAUGUAGCAUUAUUCACAAAGAGCAAACCAGCCCUUUCUGAGAUAAUCAAUUAUAAACUAAAGAGAAAAAGACUGUUUUUAAUGGAAUAUUGAAAAAAGUGGAAGUGGCUAAAUAACUUGGGUGGGGGGAGUAGUCUUAGUAACUGUAGAGCUAUUUUGUAAGAGGUCACACUUUGUCAGUGCUAUCUUGUUAUUUAACAUUAUUCUGGUAGGGAUGCUAGGGCAGCAAGCAAGGUUGUGGCUAGGGAGAGUCAAGCCUACUGUACUUAGGUACUUCAUAGACACCUGAUAUUUAAUCUUUACAAUUCUCUUUAAUUGUAGUAUCCUACCCUCUUUGCAUAUUAGAAAAUUGAAAUUUGGAGAGCCAGGGACAGUGAUGCUUGGUAGAUACAAGCUACUUGGGAGACUGGGGCAGGAGUUUCACAAAUUUGAGGACAACCUGGUAACUGAGGUAGACCCUGUCUCAAAAUACAGAAAUAAGGGGGAUGGGGAUAUAGCUCAGUGGUAAAAGAAAAGAAAAAGCACACUGAGGCUCAUGAAAGUAAUCUAUGCAAAUUCAUACAGACAGUAGCGUAAGUGGAGUAAGUAUACAGGUAACCUUGAAUUUAAACCCAUAUUCUUUUUGUAUGUUACACAUAUUCUUUAAAUUUGGAGACAUUAGCGCCACAAUCCCCAUUUUUUUUUUCUGAUGAAUACUUAUAAAUACACAGGCAUAGUAAACUGCAAUUGUAAGAAGAUAGGGCAUAUUGUGGGAAUUGUUCUAGAAAUAAUUAUCUGUCACCAUUGUUUAAAUAACAAUAUUUCACUCCUCCUUUAUGGGAGAAUACAAUUUGGACCCAUUUACUUCACUGUUAUACGGUAACUCCUGGAAGGAAUGUGAAUUUGUCACGAACAUUAAUAAUAGACUGUAAUUUCAUUAUAGUAAAUCUUAAUCUGGCCUUAAAGUAUUAAUAUGGAAGGUUCAGGUUCCAUUUUGGAGGAAGAAGAAGCUAAUUCCAUACGUUUCAAAGUUAGGAUGCAUUUUUUUUUCCCCACAUUAAAUCUUUGAAAUCAGAAUUUGUCUUAUAACCAUAAUGAAAAAUUCGGUCAUAUUUUAAUUGUUUGCUGGUGCUCUUGAUUUAAAAUAAUAAAAAGGUCAAGCCCGAGUAGGGCAUCACCAGUUUCUCCUACUCAUAGGUGAGGUGACUGAAGCUCCUAGGUGAAGCAGCUCAUCCAUUGCUGAUGGAAAUAAGAGGUAGAACCAGGGUCUGAGCUAAGGGAAUCUGAGCAGUGAAUGGAAAACUCGAUAUGACAUGUCAUUGAGGAAAACUUUCCACACCCUUUGCUUUCCAGUUUAUCCAUUUGAUGAUAUCAUUGUCCCUCUGCUGUCUCCUUCACUCUUCUUUCCUUUGAUCUUCCCUGACACCCUCCUCUCCCCGCCCCCGCCAUUUAGGGAAUUUACCAUAUUCCCUGAUCCAGAACAUCACCCAGUCUCUAACUGGAUCCUAUACUUCUUACCUCUAUUAUAAGUACUCUAUAAUUCCUUUUUCUCUGUUUAGCAAGUCCAACAAUGGAUGGAUUCAUUUAUUCAACAAGAAGACAAAAAAAUCACACAACUGGGCAAAUUCACAAUCACCAUCCUUAGUUGGACCCUCAACAUUUUAGAGAAAUCUGUUCUUUUCCCUUUUCAGUUCUCUUUGUUUGCAUCAACUCUUUCGAGUAACCUCAACCUGCUUCAAAGUCUUCCUUCUCAUUGUUUCUCUAAUUCAAAUUUACUCUAAAAUACUAAUUCUAUCUCAAGUUAUAAUUUAUCGAAAUGUUAAAACAUCAUUAUAAUAACAAUGAAAGACUUCUCAUUCAUUUAUUUUAAUGGCAUCCAGAAUGAAAGUAAGAGGCAAUGGAAGGUAGCUAAUUGCAGAAGAGCCAGGCUUGGAACAAGUUUCCUGAUUGCCAAAAAUGAUCUCCAUUUCUUGUUAUCUCAAAAGAUGCUCCACACACAAAUACUCACAACUCAUGUAUUUCACAUUUUGUUUAUCUCUUUGUGAACUGGUAAUAUAUUCACAUGGUUUGAAAUCAAAAUCGCAACCUUUUCCUCUUUAUCCACCCAAUUUUCUCCUCCUACUCAAGGCAGGCUCCCUUCCAGUGUUUCUUUAUGUAAAGAUAUGUGAAUAAAAGCAGAUUUUUUAAAUCACUCCUUUUUAUUUCCUGUGCUGAGGAUCAAACCCAGAGCCAUGCACAUGUUAAGCACAUGUUCUGUCGCCAACCUACACCCUUAGCAACAUCUUUUCCUUAUUAAAAAAAAAAAAUAGCAUGAGAGAAGGAGAGAGCCAUGUGUGUGUUUUCCACAUUGAGGCUCUUUCAC
Non-coding RNA from Ictidomys tridecemlineatus (thirteen-lined ground squirrel), 5034 nucleotides. NCBI's taxonomy places the organism in Eukaryota, Metazoa, Chordata, Mammalia, Rodentia, Sciuridae. The record is from RefSeq and is a predicted model, not a curated record.